UAGCAGUGACAGCCUCAAAUUGUGAGAUUUGGCCCAAGUAAUUCAAAUCACAUGUUUUAAUCUCAGUUUUAUUUGCAUGGGCUACAGGCUAUAAUUAACAUCAAGUGGCAAGACAGGAUCACAUACAGUAGAGUCCUGGAGUACAGUCAGGUCACCAACAUUGAAACAAGCUUUCUGCUACUUAACUAUUCAAGACUAGGUCUCUGUGGCCACAGAGAAAUGACUAAGGGAGUAUUUAAUGACCAAUUAUGUGAGGAGGAUAAAGAGGGGUGGACUUUCACCACUAAAUGUAGUGGUAAGUGAGAUUGUAUUUUAUUUUGAUACCUUCUAACUUCUUUUUCAAUGCUUGAUGCCUAAAUUAUUUUGUAAUCUGGCCUUUGCCAACUUAACUUCUCAUAGAAUUCUACCAUAUACCCAAGGCAUACAGACAUAACAUGAAAACUCCCUGCCAAAAACAAAACAAAUUCUACUUCAUAGACACUGAGAAAAAGCAGCCAUCUAUGAUCCAGAAAAAUGGGAACUUACCAGACAUUGAAUCUGCCAGCACAUUGACCUUGGAUGUCCCAGUCUCCAGAACUAUGAUUAAUGUUGUUAUGGAAGCUGGAGGCUGAGAAGUCCCAUUAUCUGCCACCAGUACGAGCCAGAAUCCCAGGAAAACUCAUGGUAUAAUUUCAACC
RNAcentral lists this long non-coding RNA (677 nucleotides) under Homo sapiens (human). RNAcentral describes it as "HSALNT0293167". Lineage: Eukaryota; Metazoa; Chordata; Mammalia; Primates; Hominidae. The record is from RNAcentral.